ACCUGAUCCAGCAACGCCGCGUGGAGGACGAAGGUCUUCGGAUCGUAAACUCCUGUCAGACGGGACGAAGGUUUCAGGGUAAAUAAUCCUGGAACUUGACGGUACUGUCAGAGGGAGCCCCGGCUAACUCCGUGCCAGCAGCCGCGGUAAUACGGAGGGGGCGAGCGUUAUUCGGAAUUAUUGGGCGUAAAGGGCGCGUAGGCGGCUUGCCAAGUCAAAGGUGAAAUCCCUCGGCUCAACUGAGGAACUGCCUUUGAAACUGUCAGGCUUGAGUCCGGGAGGGGGUAGCGGAAUUCCCAGUGUAGCGGUGAAAUGCGUAGAUAUUGGGAGGAACACCAGUGGCGAAGGCGGCUACCUGGACCGGAUCUGACGCUGAUGCGCGAAAGCGUGGGUAGCAAACAGGAUUAGAUACCCUGGUAGUCCACGCUGUAAACGAUGGGUGCUCGGUGUCGCGGGUAUCGACCCCUGCGGUGCCUUAGCCAACGCGUUAAGCACCCCGCCUGGGGAGUACGGUCGCAAGGCUG
Molecule: ribosomal RNA, 524 nt
Filed under: uncultured Acidobacteriota bacterium
Lineage: Bacteria; Pseudomonadati; Acidobacteriota
Description: bacterial SSU rRNA
Rfam family: Bacterial small subunit ribosomal RNA
Source: RNAcentral